GCAGGCGAUCGCGGCCACGGCUGCCACGGCAGCAUCCGAAAGGAAGUGGGUGAGGAAAGUCCGGGCUUCACAGGGCAUGGAUACCGGUUAACGGCCGGCGGAGGUAACUCCCGGGAAAGCGCAGCAGAGAACAGACCGCUGCCGCGGAAGCGGCAGUAAGGGUGAAACGGCAGUGUAAGAGACUACCGCUUCCCCAGUAAUGGGGAAGGCAUUGCAAGCCCUAUCCGAAGCAAGACCGAGCAGAGAACAGUUCACAGAAGCAUCCGGCCCGGAUGCGGACAGUUGUCCCUGUUUUCAGGUGGGUCGCUUGAUGCUGGCGGCAACGUCAGUACUAGAAAGAUGAUCGUCCAACGACAUAACCCGGCUUAUCGCUCUGCUU
Molecule: RNase P RNA, 379 nt
Filed under: bovine gut metagenome
Description: Bacterial RNase P class A
Rfam family: Bacterial RNase P class A
About the family: Ribonuclease P (RNase P) is a ubiquitous endoribonuclease, found in archaea, bacteria and eukarya as well as chloroplasts and mitochondria. Its best characterised activity is the generation of mature 5'-ends of tRNAs by cleaving the 5'-leader elements of precursor-tRNAs. Cellular RNase Ps are ribonucleoproteins.
Source: RNAcentral